CCUACGGGAGGCAGCAGUGAGGAAUAUUGGUCAAUGGACGAGAGUCUGAACCAGCCAAGUAGCGUGAAGGAUGACUGCCCUAUGGGUUGUAAACUUCUUUUAUAAAGGAAUAAAACGAGGCACGUGUGCCUUUUUGCAUGUACUUUAUGAAUAAGGAUCGGCUAACUCCGUGCCAGCAGCCGCGGUAAUACGGAGGAUCCGAGCGUUAUCCGGAUUUAUUGGGUUUAAAGGGAGCGUAGAUGGGUUGUUAAGUCAGUUGUGAAAGUUUGCGGCUCAACCGUAAAAUUGCAAUUGAUACUGGCAGUCGUGAGUACAGUUGAGGUAGGCGGAAUUCGUGGUGUAGCGGUGAAAUGCUUAGAUAUCACGAAGAACCCCGAUUGCGAAGGCAGCUUACUAAACUGUGACUGACAUUGAUGCCCGAAAGUGUGGGUAUCAAACAGGAUUAGAUACCCCGGUAGUC
Molecule: ribosomal RNA, 460 nt
Filed under: uncultured bacterium
Lineage: Bacteria
Description: partial 16S ribosomal RNA
Rfam family: Bacterial small subunit ribosomal RNA
Source: RNAcentral